This 877-nucleotide ribosomal RNA is filed under the name uncultured eukaryote. RNAcentral describes it as "SSU rRNA". It matches the Rfam family "Eukaryotic small subunit ribosomal RNA", at positions 636 to 1469 of the family's 1831-position model. The record is from RNAcentral.
CGGUGUUCAACUGGCGUGUCCGCGGGACGUCCUGCCGGUGGGCUUAGCCCGCAAGGGCGGCCCAACUUCAAAUCCCAUCGCGGUGCUCUUCACUGAGUGUCGAGGUGGGCCGGCACGUUUACUUUGAACAAAUUAGAGUGCUUAAAGCAGGCUAAAACUUCGCCUGAAUACUGUGUGCAUGGAAUAAUGGAAUAGGACCUCGGUUCUAUUUUGUUGGUUUUCGGAACCCCGAGGUAAUGAUUAAUAGGAACAGAUGGGGGCAUUCGUAUUGCGACGUUAGAGGUGAAAUUCUUGGAUCGUCGCAAGACGGACAGAAGCGAAAGCAUUUGCCAAAAACGCUUUCAUUGAUCAAGAACGAAAGUUAGAGGUUCGAAGGCGAUCAGAUACCGCCCUAGUUCUAACCAUAAACGAUGCCAGCUAGCGAUCCGUCGACGUUCCUCCGAUGACUCGACGGGCAGCUUCCGGGAAACCAAAGCUUUUGGGUUCCGGGGGAAGUAUGGUUGCAAAGCUGAAACUUAAAGGAAUUGACGGAAGGGCACCACCAGGAGUGGAGCCUGCGGCUUAAUUUGACUCAACACGGGAAACCUCACCAGGCCCGGACACCGGAAGGAUUGACAGAUUGAGAGCUCUUUCUUGAUUCGGUGGGUGGUGGUGCAUGGCCGUUCUUAGUUGGUGGAGCGAUUUGUCUGGUUAAUUCCGAUAACGAACGAGACUCUAGCCUGCUAACUAGGCGUAUUUUCGACAUCUCAAAGGUCCGUCGUCCCGGCCCUCGGGUCGUGGGCGUGCGCGAUUUUUACUGUCGGCGUACUAUCAAUUCUUCUUAGAGGGACAGGUGGCUUCUAGCCGCACGAGAUUGAGCAAUAACAGGUCUGUGAUG